RNAcentral lists this unclassified non-coding RNA (648 nucleotides) under Allium acuminatum. Its description in RNAcentral is "sequence contains ITS1, 5.8S rRNA gene and ITS2". The stretch from base 246 to 401 matches the Rfam family "5.8S ribosomal RNA". Lineage: Eukaryota; Viridiplantae; Streptophyta; Magnoliopsida; Asparagales; Amaryllidaceae. The record is from RNAcentral.
UCGAGUCCACCUUUUGAAGAUUGAGAACGUGUAGCCUUUCCCAUCGAGAACAUGCUAGUUUUGCAAGUGCACUUCUACUUUCUAGAUGGAUUUCAUUAGCCGCCUUUGGCUUGCUUUAUUCGAGGCAACAAAGGAGAGCGGGAAUAAUACACCGGCGUAGUUUACGCCAAGGAUGUUUUUGGUUAGAGUGCAUCACCUACUUUAUGUUGUUUGGUGCAUUCUCCCACUAGUGUGAGAAUAUGCAUGACUCUUGGCAACGGAUAUCUAGGCUCUCGCGUCGAUGAAGAACGUAGCGAAAUGCGAUACUUGGUGUGAAUUGCAGAAUCCCGUGAACCAUCGAGUCUUUGAACGCAAGUUGCGCCCAAGACCAUCAGGUCGAGGGCACGUCUGCCUGGGCGUCCCGCUUUACGUCACUCGUAGCACCAACCUAGAUUAAACUUGGGUUUUGGUGCAUCUUGAUGUGGACAUUGACCCUCUGCGAUCUUUUACACGCUGUGGGUCUAAGCGAUUGGCGUUGUUGGGUUUCAACGCGACGGAAUGGUGGGUAUAUUGUACGCAUCAAGCCUCAAGUUGUGCGCGUGACUCCUAGCCACGACCUACAAGAAGUGGAACCCAUAACGACGUUUGCACCUUUUGCAAGGUCGGACC